AGUGAACGCUGGCGGUAGGCCUAACACAUGCAAGUCGAACGGUAGCACAGUAAGAGCUUGCUCUUACGGGUGGCGAGUGGCGGACGGGUGAGGAAUACAUCGGAAUCUACUUUUUCGUGGGGGAUAACGUAGGGAAACUUACGCUAAUACCGCAUACGACCUACGGGUGAAAGCAGGGGAUCUUCGGACCUUGCGCGAUUGAAUGAGCCGAUGUCGGAUUAGCUAGUUGGCGGGGUAAAGGCCCACCAAGGCGACGAUCCGUAGCUGGUCUGAGAGGAUGAUCAGCCACACUGGAACUGAGACACGGUCCAGACUCCUACGGGAGGCAGCAGUGGGGAAUAUUGGACAAUGGGCGCAAGCCUGAUCCAGCCAUACCGCGUGGGUGAAGAAGGCUUCGGGUUGUAAAGCCCUUUUGUUGGGAAAGAAAAGCAGCAGGUUAAUACCCCGCUGUUCUGACGGUACCCAAAGAAUAAGCACCGGCUAACUUCGUG
Molecule: ribosomal RNA, 491 nt
Filed under: uncultured bacterium
Lineage: Bacteria
Description: partial 16S ribosomal RNA
Rfam family: Bacterial small subunit ribosomal RNA
Source: RNAcentral